AGGCGACGGGGUAGGGGUUGGCGCUCAGGCGGCGACCAUGGCGUAUCACGGCCUCACUGUGCCUCUCAUUGUGAUGAGCGUGUUCUGGGGCUUCGUCGGCUUCUUGGUGCCUUGGUUCAUCCCUAAGGGUCCUAACCGGGGAGUUAUCAUUACCAUGUUGGUGACCUGUUCAGUUUGCUGCUAUCUCUUUUGGCUGAUUGCAAUUCUGGCCCAACUCAACCCUCUCUUUGGACCGCAAUUGAAAAAUGAAACCAUCUGGUAUCUGAAGUAUCAUUGGCCUUGAGGAAGAAGACAUGCUCUACAAAUGGUUUUGUUUUGCAGGUCACGAGAAGAGAAUGCCUUCUAGAUGCAAAAUCACCUCCAAACCAGACCACUUUUCUUGACUUGCCUGUUUUGGCCAUUAGCUGCCUUAAACGUUAACAGCACAUUUGAAUGCCUUAUUCUACAAUGCAGCGUGUUUUCCUUUGCCUUUUUUGCACUUUGGUGAAUUACGUGCCUCCAUAACCUGAACUGUGCCGACUCCACAAAACGAUUAUGUACUCUUCUGAGAUAGAAGAUGCUGUUCUUCUGAGAGAUACGUUACUCUCUCCUUGGAAUCUGUGGAUUUGAAGAUGGCUCCUGCCUUCUCACGUGGGAAUCAGUGAAGUGUUUAGAAACUGCUGCAAGACAAACAAGACUCCAGUGGGGUGGUCAGUAGGAGAGCACGUUCAGAGGGAAGAGCCAUCUCAACAGAAUCGCACCAAACUAUACUUUCAGGAUGAAUUUCUUCUUUCUGCCAUCUUUUGGAAUAAAUAUUUUCCUC
RNAcentral lists this long non-coding RNA (802 nucleotides) under Homo sapiens (human). Its description in RNAcentral is "HSALNT0097907". The record is from RNAcentral. Lineage: Eukaryota; Metazoa; Chordata; Mammalia; Primates; Hominidae.